UGACACUGCUAAAUUUAGAAAAGGGCUCUGUUUUCUGUUUUGCUCAACCCUCACAAUUUUCUGCUCUGAAGAAAGAGGAGUUUCAAAUGCACACUGAUCUGUCUCAUAUCGUGAAUGAACCCAACGAGCACCUGUUUUCAACUGCCAAAAUACGUUCUUUUUUUACAAAAGGGAAAGAGAAGCCUGUAUACUCUUAAUUCAUCAUAGGAGGUAGAAUUUCCCCCCCUGCUUUCUUCAAAAGGACAUAACCAGAAAGAACCAUGACUGUCUCUGGGUGUUUUUCUUCAGAGUGAAGGCUGGACCCACCCUUGUCCCAGAAGGUAAAGUUUGAUUCAUCUAACACGCAAAUCUGGAUGUCCCAUUAUCCUUGCCAGUGAUCAGUUUAGAAUAACAUUUCUCAACCUCAGGACUUUCGACAUUUGGGGCUGGAUCAUUCUGUUGUAGGGCUGCCCUGUGCUUGUAGGAUGUUUGGCCUCUACCCUCUAGAUGGGGUACGCCACCCCCUCCCCCCCAUCCACCCUAGCUGGGACAACAGAA
Lynx canadensis (Canada lynx) is the source of this 537-nucleotide long non-coding RNA. RefSeq lists it as uncharacterized. The record is from RefSeq and is a predicted model, not a curated record. The transcript is spliced from 2 exons. Lineage: Eukaryota; Metazoa; Chordata; Mammalia; Carnivora; Felidae.